RNAcentral lists this ribosomal RNA (312 nucleotides) under Bacillus siamensis. RNAcentral describes it as "bacterial LSU rRNA". It matches the Rfam family "Bacterial large subunit ribosomal RNA", at positions 1669 to 1979 of the family's 2925-position model. The record is from RNAcentral. Lineage: Bacteria; Bacillati; Bacillota; Bacilli; Caryophanales; Bacillaceae.
GAGGAGAGAAUCCUAAGGUGAUCGAGAGAACUCUCGUUAAGGAACUCGGCAAAAUGACCCCGUAACUUCGGGAGAAGGGGUGCUCUGUUAGGGUGCAAGCCCGAGAGAGCCGCAGUGAAUAGGCCCAGGCGACUGUUUAGCAAAAACACAGGUCUCUGCGAAGCCGUAAGGCGAAGUAUAGGGGCUGACGCCUGCCCGGCGCUGGAAGGUUAAGAGGAGCGCUUAGCGUAAGCGAAGGUGCGAAUUGAAGCCCCAGUAAACGGCGGCCGUAACUAUAACGGUCCUAAGGUAGCGAAAUUCCUUGUCGGGUAA